GGCAAGAUGGCCGAGUUGGUCCAAGGCGUGAGGUUAAGGUCCACCUUAAUACCACUCUCUUAGAGUUUCCUCAUCAUCGUAUGAUGGCGUGGGUUCGAAUCCCACUCUUGUCA
RNAcentral lists this transfer RNA (113 nucleotides) under Aspergillus fumigatus Af293. It matches the Rfam family "tRNA". Rfam says of the family: Transfer RNA (tRNA) molecules are approximately 80 nucleotides in length. Their secondary structure includes four short double-helical elements and three loops (D, anti-codon, and T loops). Lineage: Eukaryota; Fungi; Ascomycota; Eurotiomycetes; Eurotiales; Aspergillaceae. The record is from Rfam by way of RNAcentral. RNAcentral also lists the same sequence under 1 other name.